CGUGUAGGCGGCCCGAUAAGUCGGUUGUGAAAGUCAAGGGCUCAACCCUUGAAAGCCGGCCGAUACUGUCGGGCUAGAAUCCGGAAGAGGCGAGUGGAAUUCCUGGUGUAGCGGUGAAAUGCGCAGAUAUCAGGAGGAACACCAAUGGCGAAGGCAGCUCGCUGGGACGGUAUUGACGCUGAGACGCGAAAGCGUGGGGAGCAAACA
RNAcentral lists this ribosomal RNA (207 nucleotides) under uncultured bacterium. RNAcentral describes it as "partial 16S ribosomal RNA". It matches the Rfam family "Bacterial small subunit ribosomal RNA", at positions 568 to 774 of the family's 1533-position model. The record is from RNAcentral.